UGUGCAACACUUGUCGGUCUUCACUGAUC
Molecule: non-coding RNA, 29 nt
Filed under: Rattus norvegicus (Norway rat)
Lineage: Eukaryota; Metazoa; Chordata; Mammalia; Rodentia; Muridae
Source: RNAcentral